AUAGGGAGUCGGACCUGCCCAGUGAAGCAUUUUUAACGGCCGCGGUACUCUGACCGUGCAAAGGUAGCAUAAUCAUUUGCCCUAUAAUUGAGGGCUAGUAUGAAUGGUUUGACAAGAAUAAAGCUGUCUCUUUUUAAUUAUAUAGAAUUUUAUUUUUAGGUGAAGAAGCCUAAAUUUAAUUAAAAGACAAGAAGACCCUAUCGAGCUUUAAAUAAAUUGAAAGGUUUACGGAAAUAUAUAUUAAAACAAUAUCUGUCAAAAAUUUUGGUUGGGGCGACAAAGGAACAUAAAAAGCUUCUUUUAUAUAUAUCAGACUAAGCGAGUUGUGAUCCAAUAAAUUUUGAUUAAAGAAAUUAGUUACCGUAGGGAUAACAGCAUUAUCUUUUUUGAGAGCUCAUAUCGAAAAAAAGGUUUGUGACCUCGAUGUUGGACCAGAAUGUCCUAAAGAUGCAGAAGUCUUUAAGGGUUGGUCUGUUCGACCAUUAAAAUUCU
Molecule: ribosomal RNA, 492 nt
Filed under: Cassis flammea
Lineage: Eukaryota; Metazoa; Mollusca; Gastropoda; Littorinimorpha; Cassidae
Description: partial 16S ribosomal RNA
Rfam family: Bacterial large subunit ribosomal RNA
Source: RNAcentral